GGGCACAUGGUGUAGUUGGUUUAUCACGCCCGCUUAGCAUGUUAGUAGUUGCGGGAGGUGUUGGGUUCAAUUCCCAAUGUGUCCA
This is a transfer RNA of 85 nucleotides. It matches the Rfam family "tRNA". Rfam says of the family: Transfer RNA (tRNA) molecules are approximately 80 nucleotides in length.